This 253-nucleotide ribosomal RNA is filed under the name uncultured bacterium. RNAcentral describes it as "partial 16S ribosomal RNA". It matches the Rfam family "Bacterial small subunit ribosomal RNA", at positions 524 to 776 of the family's 1533-position model. The record is from RNAcentral.
UACGUAGGGUGCAAGCGUUGUCCGGAAUUAUUGGGCGUAAAGAGCUCGUAGGCGGUUUGUCGCGUCUGCUGUGAAAAUCCAGGGCUUAACCCUGGACCUGCAGUGGGUACGGGCAGACUAGAGUGCGGUAGGGGAGAUCGGAAUUCCUGGUGUAGCGGUGAAAUGCGCAGAUAUCAGGAGGAACACCGGUGGCGAAGGCGGAUCUCUGGGCCGAUACUGACGCUGAGGAGCGAAAGCGUGGGGAGCAAACAGG